CCUGCCCACUGAAAUUUUUUGAAUGGCCGCAGUAAUUUGACUGUGCAAAGGUAGCAUAAUCAUUAGUUUUUUAAUUAAAAGCUUGUAUGAAGGGUUGGACGAGGUAAAGUCUGUCUUUAUUUAAAUAAUUAUAGAAUUUAAUUUUUAAGUUAAAAAGCUUAAAUUUAAAUAAAAGACGAGAAGACCCUAUAGAUCUUUAUAUUAUUUUUUAUAAUUUUAUUUUAGAAUAUUUUAUUUUUUAUAAAAAAAAAUAUUUAAUUGGGGUAAUUAAAAGAUUUAAUUAAUUCUUUUUAUAUAUUUUCAUUAAUUUAUGAAUUUGUGAUCCAAUAAUUUUGAUUAUAAGAUUAAGUUACCUUAGGGAUAACAGCGUAAUUUUUUUUGAGAGUUCAUAUCGAUAAAAAAGUUUGCGACCUCGAUGUUGGAUUAAAAAUUAUUUUAGGCGUAGAAGUUUAAAAAUUUGGUCUGUUCGACCAUUGAAUUUUUACAUGAUCUGAGUUCAGACCGGUGUAAACCAGGUCGGUUUCUAUCUUUAUUUAUUUAUAAUAUUUUAGUACGAAAGGACCAAAUAUUAAAUAUAUUUAUAUUUAUAAUUUUGAAUAUUAUUAA
This 606-nucleotide ribosomal RNA is filed under the name Papuadytes sp. MB483. RNAcentral describes it as "partial 16S ribosomal RNA". It matches the Rfam family "Bacterial large subunit ribosomal RNA", at positions 1858 to 2747 of the family's 2925-position model. The record is from RNAcentral. Lineage: Eukaryota; Metazoa; Arthropoda; Insecta; Coleoptera; Dytiscidae.